CUGGUACAGGCAUGGGGGGCA
RNAcentral lists this microRNA (21 nucleotides) under Pteropus alecto (black flying fox). Its description in RNAcentral is "pal-miR-150-3p". Its record names the gene pal-miR-150-3p. The record is from miRBase by way of RNAcentral. RNAcentral also lists the same sequence under 3 other names. Lineage: Eukaryota; Metazoa; Chordata; Mammalia; Chiroptera; Pteropodidae.